UUGAAGAAAACAUUGACAUGUUCCGGCUCUGGCGGAGUGGAUGACAUGCUAGUUGGUUGCCUUUGGCAGAAUGAUUAUCUUGUCACCGUGUCUCUUGGUGGCACAAUUAGCAUCUUUUCUGCAAGCGAUCUUGACAAAAGUCCACGACAAAUAUCUGGACAUAUGAAGAAUGUUACAUCGUUAGCUGUGCUUAAAAAUGUCCCAAAAACUAUAUUAUCCAGCAGUUAUGAUGGUUUGAUAGUUAAAUGGAUUCAAGGCAUUGGAUACAACUGUAAAUUACAGAGGAAAGAGAGUUCUCAAAUCAAAUGUUUAGCUGCUGUUGAAGAAGAAAUUGUUACAUCUGGAUUUGAUAAUAAGAUUUGGAGAGUGCAUUUUCAAGGGGAUCAAUGUGGAGAUGCCAAUUCCAUUGACAUUGGCUGUCAGCCAAAAGACUUGAGUCUUGCCCUUCUCUGUCCCGAACUUGCUUUGAUCACAAUUGAUUCAGGUGUUGUCAUACUCCGUGGUACAAAAGUAAUGUCAACCAUCAAUCUUGGUUAUGCAGUGACAGCAUCUGCAAUCUCACCUGAUGGAAGUGAAGCAAUCAUAGGCGGGCAGGAUGGUAAAUUGCAUGUAUAUUCUAUUACAGGUGAUACUCUUAAGGAAGAAGCAGUCCUUGAGAAACAUCGAGGGGCUAUCAGUGUUAUACGUUACUCUCCAGAUGUUUCAAUGUUUGCAUCUGGUGAUGCAAAUAGAGAAGCUAUUGUUUGGGAUCGUGUCUCCAGAGAGGUGAAGCUGAAGAACAUGUUAUACCAUACUGCCCGCAUAAACUGCCUUGCUUGGUCUCCUGAUAGCAGCAUGGUUGCUACAGGUUCACUUGACACUUGUGUCAUUAUAUAUGAAGUGGACAAGCCUGCAUCUAGUCGGAUGACCAUAAAGGGAGCUCACUUGGGUGGGGUUUAUGGAUUAGCUUUCACUGGUGAGCUCAGUUUAGUAAGCUCUGGUGAGGAUGCCUGUAUUCGAGUUUGGAGAUUAAGCCCACAGUGAUUCUGAUUGAUGAAGGUUAUCACGAAGAUACUAGGUUAAAAAACAAUAAAGUUUGGUGAGUGUGCUGGAUUAUUUUGGACUUCUGUUUGUUGUGGACUUGGGUUGUAUUGUGGUUGGAGAUAGUUUGAAGAAUAGGCAUAGUCACGAAGAUUAGACUGCCCUUUGUUGUUGUCAUACUAUGUUGGAAGUGACCAUCUUCAAACACCAGUUUGAUUGAGAGUGUAUGAUUUAUUCUCUUUUAGUAGCUCGGAUUUGGUGUUCUUUUCACAUGGCAGGUGAUUGAAGUAGGGAAAUGUCUGUAAUAUUGUAUUUUAUGCGCAUGUCUUCAUCCAAUGGAAGUUGGCAGAAAUUCCAUGCCGAUUUUACGACGGAUAUCCAGGGAUUUAAGCCGUAGAAAAUAGUAUGCUGCAAUGAAACAACCAUGAACAGACUACAGUGGUUGAAGUGGUGAAGUGAGCUUUUCCUUUUGGUUGUGAUAGGAUUAUUGACGCUACCAUAUUGCUCCAAUUUUUUUUUUUUUCUUUCUGGUGAUGGUGCUAGUGACUGUUGUGAUAUUAGGUAUUGUUCGUGACGCUAGCAUAUUGCUCCAAUUUUUUUUUUGGCUUUCUGGUGAUGGUGCUAGUGAAUGUUGUGAUAUUAGGUAUUGUUCGUAAUAGUUAUGGUAAGCGUGUGAUGAGAUGUAUUUUAGUUGUUGUGUAGCUGGUGUGGUAUGUAUUAAACUCUUGUUUUAUCAUCCUCUUAAUUUUCUGUCAUUGAAUUGUCUGCCAAUUCAGGCUGUUCUAAACCAAACCUUUUUGGUCUGGAGAUCUGGGAA
RNAcentral lists this unclassified non-coding RNA (1837 nucleotides) under Hevea brasiliensis (rubber tree). The record is from RNAcentral. Lineage: Eukaryota; Viridiplantae; Streptophyta; Magnoliopsida; Malpighiales; Euphorbiaceae.